GAAUUUCUCUGAUCAGAUGAGAAUGUCUCAAAAGUGGCUAAUAUUAUUGCUAGUUCAACUUUCAGUCAUCUUAAUGCAAUCGUGGCAGAUAAAUGCCGCUUGUCACAGGCAUAAUCGGCAACAUUUAAAUGCGAGAAUGAAUUCUUUGCCCCUGCCUUCCAUUGAUAUUUCUGGACAUGCAAGAGAAUCUAUGAUAAAAAUUUGGAAGAAUGCUAGUCAUAAAUUGGCGAAAAUUUAAC
Long non-coding RNA from Drosophila innubila, 239 nucleotides. RefSeq lists it as uncharacterized. NCBI's taxonomy places the organism in Eukaryota, Metazoa, Arthropoda, Insecta, Diptera, Drosophilidae. The transcript has 3 exons. The record is from RefSeq and is a predicted model, not a curated record.